CGCCAGACUCCUACGGGAGGCAGCAGUGGGGAAUAUUGCACAAUGGGGGGAACCCUGAUGCAGCGACGCCGCGUGGGUGAAGAAGUCAUUCGUGACGUAAAGCCCUAUCAGCAGGGAAGAAAAUGACGGUACCUGACUAAGAAGCCCCGGCUAACUACGUGCCAGCAGCCGCGGUAAUACGUAGGGGGCAAGCGUUAUCCGGAUUUACUGGGUGUAAAGGGAGCGUAGACGGCGGCGCAAGUCCGGAGUGAAAGCCCACGGCCCAACCGUGGGACUGCUCUGGAAACUGUGCGGCUUGAGUGCGGGAGGGGCAGGCGGAAUUCCUAGUGUAGCGGUGAAAUGCGUAGAUAUUACGCAGAACUCCGAUUGCGAAGGCAGCGCACCGGCGCCCUACUGACGCUCAGGCACGAAAGCGUGGGUAUCGAACAGGAUUAGAUACCCUCGUAGA
This 448-nucleotide ribosomal RNA is filed under the name uncultured bacterium. RNAcentral's name for it is "partial 16S ribosomal RNA". It matches the Rfam family "Bacterial small subunit ribosomal RNA", at positions 329 to 794 of the family's 1533-position model. The record is from RNAcentral.